Molecule: long non-coding RNA, 3639 nt
Organism: Oncorhynchus keta (chum salmon)
Lineage: Eukaryota; Metazoa; Chordata; Actinopteri; Salmoniformes; Salmonidae
Exons: 2
Source: RefSeq, a predicted model, not a curated record
CCUUCAGCAGGCACAUAGUGGAGCAGAUGGUGUCUCUGAUUGGGCCUAGACAACCCACCCGGCCAUCAAAACUUGGCUUCAUAUGUUCAUGUCCAAGCUGUGGAGCUACUCAUCUAUUUAUGAAUCAGUUUGUUUUAUUCUGUGAUGAUUUUAGCCUUGUUGAUGAAUUCAGCCACAAACAACAAUUAUGUUGUAUGCCUUGAUAUAACAGCACAAUUCCUGUCUGAUCUUAGUCAGCAUCAUGAGUGUUUUGUAUAAUGUAGCAUCAGACUGUGGUCUGUUAUGAUGCUCAAGUCUGUAUGAUGCUGAAUUCAGCACUUCUCCCCAGAGCUUGAAGACCAGUCAUCAUAGAACAGUCCAGUCCAACUCUGAUCCUCCUGAGUCCUGAGUCACAGGCCUGCUUUUACGGCUCUGCCUGUCCGUUUAUAAAAACACGAAGCAGGGCAGGGCACAGCUCCAACUAAGGCCACUCAUUCAACAUUAACACAAACAAAGCAAUUGUAAAAAUGCCCAUUCAGAACAAUGGCAGCCAAGCUAAUGAGUCAAAGGAUGUGUUUUAGUAGGGGGUUGUGUGUAAAUAGGGGUUAUUUAUAAAAACGUACCGUAAAACUGUUUUACAUUUACUACCUGUUGUUCCCAACGGGUCAUUUCCCCGCCUAGACUAAAUAACAACUAUUGGCUCUCUUAUACAUAUUUAACACCUCGAGGCAGACAUCGGUGUUCAAUUUGAUUAGAUUAGAUUUUUCUUAUUUUUUUGACAAAUGAAUGGAAGAAUCUGUUACUUGAUUGUACUUGCAUGUUAUUUAGUAAUUAUUGAUCAUUCUUUGCAUGUUUAGUCAUUUUUCCCAUUCGUCAUCAACUAAUGGUUUUAAAUGUUUUAUGUUUUGUUUAUUUAUAUUGAGAAUCUAAAUGUAGUCACUGUUUUUCAAUGUUUUCUGGUUUUGUUUGAUUGACCAUAAAUACCUUUUCGCCUGAGGUAAUAACAGUGGUUGUAAAGCACUUGUACUAGCAAUAAAACAAAAACUAUUUUGUAGUGAAAAUAGCUAAAACUGUAUUGUUGCGGCGUUAGGUGGAAGUAGGUCUUGAACAGCACUUUCACUGGCUGUCUGUACGUUAGACAGACACACAUCCUGCCCAACGUGUAUGCACAACCUAGCGCUAGCCUCAAACCUGAAACUAACUAUUACUGUGCACAAAAUUUUGUCACUUGUUAUUUUUAGUGAUGUAAUGUAAGCACUACAGGGGAGGGAGAGAGGGGGCACACCCCCCCAUCCACAUCGAUGGGGCUGCAGUUGAAAAGGUUGGGUCCCUCAAAUCCUCAAAAAGUUCUACAUCUGCACCUUUGAGAGUGCGGACAGCCCAGUACUUCACUGGGGCCGAGCUCCCUGCCAUCCAGAAUUUGAUUUGAUAUUAGGCGGUGUGAAUGGAAAGGCUGGAAAAUCGUUAAAGACUCCAGCCACCCAAGCCAUUAGACUGCUCUUCCUGCUUCCUUAUGGCAAGUGGUGCCGGUGUAUCAAGUCUGACACCGACAGCCUCAAUAAUAGUUUAUAUCCCCAAGCCAUUGGACUGCUAAAUAGCUAACAGAAUGGCUACACAUGCACACACAUACACACAAUCAUCAUUUACUCUGCUGCUACUCUGUUUAUCAUAUAUCCUGAUGCCGAGUCACCUUACCCGUAUACAUACAUGUAUCUACAUCUAUCACUCCAGUAUCCCUGCACAUUGUUAAUGGUAUUGGAACUGACUCUGUAUAAAGCUUCUUACUUUCUUGUGUUCUUAUUUUUAUUUCUUGUGUGUUUUUGUUCUACCUUAUGUUAUUUUUAUUUCUUGUGUGUUUUUGUUCUACCUUAUGUUAUUUUUAUUUCUUGUGUGUUUUUGUUCUACCUUAUGUUAUUUUUAUUUCUUGUGUGUUUUUGUUCUACCUUAUGUUAUUUUUAUUUCUUGUGUGUUUUUGUUCUACCUUAUGUUAUUUUUAUUUAUUGUGUGUUUUUGUUCUACCUUAUGUUAUUUUUAUUUCUUGUGUGUUUUUGUUCUACCUUAUGUUAUUUUUAUUUCUUGUGUGUUUUUGUUCUACCUUAUGUUAUUUUUAUUUCUUGUGUGUUUUUGUUCUACCUUAUGUUAUUUUUAGUGCUACAUUGAGUAUGGUUACAUGCACACAAUAAUGUAAUAAUUGUGGAUAGUCAGAUCAGUAUAAUAAUUUGAUUAAAACAUUUACAUGUUUUGCAAGAAGAGUGAUUUCCCUAAUAAUCAUUUUUACAUGGACACAUAUGAAAUGAGGCUAAUUCAUGCCGCUCUGAUAAAUUCUGAAAAUCGCCAAUCAAAACAAACGUUCUACCACAGCGUCCAUUUUGGGUGAAGCGUAUUUGAUUCUGAGUUGGGACAUAAAGGUUGUAUGUGAAAACGACUUCUAAGACACGUACAUUCAGUUGUUCCGAACUCACUUCACUCACACUAAAGAGGGAGGCUUGCUUGGCUGCUGCUAGCACAUGCCCUGAUCAAAUGUGUUUAUUUUAUUGAACUUUUAUCAAGUACACCACUGGAAUGUCGUUUUAGGUGUUUACAUGUCCUAAUCAUUGUAAAGAUUGGUCAGAAAAACAGGUGUUUUAAUCGGUGUAUGCUUACUUCGAUUCUGACCUUCCACCGAUUCAAAUAACCAUAGUAAGGCGUUUACAUGCCCAUUAUAUAAUCUACCUACUGCAGUAAUCAGUUUAAUACAGAAUUAUUACUGUGCAUGUACUCAUUUAUAUUGAUUACUGUAUUGUUGCAGUCUGCAAGAAAGGCAUUUCACUGUACUUGUGCAUGUGACAUAAAUCUUGAAACUUAAAGUAGAACAUACUGUACAGUAUUUCACAGCGGAAGACUGUCUUGCUGCCUGUGGUUUUCUCCAGCUCCAUAGUAACCUAUGUGGUGACCUGUGUGUUGUCAAAGCAGACAAUCAACAAGGUGAACAUUAUAGAAGCCGCACGUACAGUCACCCAUUAUUCACAGGAUACUGUAUAAGCCCCACAUAUUCAGCAUUGUUCUGUCAUAGAUUUGUUACUUACAUAAUUGGUUUACUGACAGUGAUACUGAAAUGGUGUGGUGAGUUUGCCACAAUAAAUAAAGCAUUGGUGAUCUCUAGGUUAGUAGUGUGGGCAUCGAUCAAUGGGAUAGGCCGGGCACCACAGGAUGAAGAAUGACUGGACUCUGGUUCUAGCUUCCUCCCAGAUCCACUGCUCCCCUCCCGCUUUCCCCCCUUCCUCCUGGCCUCCCCUGGGUCCCAACACCUUAUGUUGGGCAGCCUGGCCUGGCUAGUCCUGGCUGUCUCCAUCCGCCUGUGACAGAGUCAACCCUUCCACUCCCCACACUCUGCGUCUGGAAAGGCCAGCAGCACAGUCACUGAGUGAGACAGACCUCUCACCUCAUCACACCUCCUCAGCCACUCACAGGCUAAGACCCAGGGGAUUGUUGGGGACUGUUUUAUAGGACUACAUGCAUGGCAGGUGACAGGAAUAACAGAGUGCUAUAUAUAAUUGGUGCUCUUUGUUUCUCAGCAGUGGGCCCCCCAGGGGGCAGGCAGUGUGUUUAGCUGACUGUCCCUCCCAGCAGACCCAUGCUGAUAAGUAAUUUCCAAAAAAGAAAUGAUCUCAUCCCUUCUUU